CGGACGGGUGAGUAACGCGUGGGAAACCGUGCCCUGUACCGGGGGAUAACACUUAGAAAUAGGUGCUAAUACCGCAUAAGCGCACAGCUUCACAUGAAGCAGUGUGAAAAACUCCGGUGGUACAGGAUGGUCCCGCGUCUGAUUAGCCAGUUGGCAGGGUAACGGCCUACCAAAGCGACGAUCAGUAGCCGGCCUGAGAGGGUGAACGGCCACAUUGGGACUGAGACACGGCCCAG
Molecule: ribosomal RNA, 236 nt
Filed under: uncultured bacterium
Lineage: Bacteria
Description: partial 16S ribosomal RNA
Rfam family: Bacterial small subunit ribosomal RNA
Source: RNAcentral